This 74-nucleotide transfer RNA is filed under the name Darevskia brauneri. RNAcentral's name for it is "tRNA-Phe". It matches the Rfam family "tRNA". Rfam says of the family: Transfer RNA (tRNA) molecules are approximately 80 nucleotides in length. Their secondary structure includes four short double-helical elements and three loops (D, anti-codon, and T loops). The record is from RNAcentral. Lineage: Eukaryota; Metazoa; Chordata; Lepidosauria; Squamata; Lacertidae.
GUCAUUGUAGCUUAUUUUUAUAAAGCACGGCACUGAAGAUGCUGAGAUGAGGAACAGGAAAACCUCCACAGACA